RNAcentral lists this ribosomal RNA (451 nucleotides) under uncultured bacterium. RNAcentral's name for it is "partial 16S ribosomal RNA". It matches the Rfam family "Bacterial small subunit ribosomal RNA", at positions 354 to 796 of the family's 1533-position model. The record is from RNAcentral.
GUGGGGAAUAUUGGACAAUGGGGGGAACCCUGAUCCAGCCAUGCCGCGUGUGUGAAGAAGGCCUUUUGGUUGUAAAGCACUUUAAGCGAGGAGGAGGCUACCGAGAUUAAUACUCUUGGAUAGUGGACGUUACUCGCAGAAUAAGCACCGGCUAACUCUGUGCCAGCAGCCGCGGUAAUACAGAGGGUGCAAGCGUUAAUCGGAUUUACUGGGCGUAAAGCGCGCGUAGGUGGCCAAGUAAGUCAAAUGUGAAAUCCCCGAGCUUAACUUGGGAAUUGCAUUCGAUACUGGUUGGCUAGAGUAUGGGAGAGGAUGGUAGAAUUCCAGGUGUAGCGGUGAAAUGCGUAGAGAUCUGGAGGAAUACCGAUGGCGAAGGCAGCCAUCUGGCCUAAUACUGACACUGAGGUGCGAAAGCAUGGGGAGCAAACAGGAUUAGAAACCCGAGUAGUCC